CCUACGUGAGGCUGCAGUGGGGAAUAUUGGACAAUGGGCGAAAGCCUGAUCCAGCCAUGCCGCGUGUGUGAAGAAGGCCUUCGGGUUGUAAAGCACUUUCAGUGGGGAAGAAAGCCUUGGGGCUAAUACCCUCGAGGAAGGACUUCACCCACAGAAGAAGCACCGGCUAACUCCGUGCCAGCAGCCGCGGUAAUACGGAGGGUGCGAGCGUUAAUCGGAAUUACUGGGCGUAAAGCGCGCGUAGGCGGUCUGAUAAGCCGGUUGUGAAAGCCCCGGGCUCAACCUGGGAACGGCAUCCGGAACUGUCAGGCUAGAGUGCAGGAGAGGAAGGUAGAAUUCCCGGUGUAGCGGUGAAAUGCGUAGAGAUCGGGAGGAAUACCAGUGGCGAAGGCGGCCUUCUGGACUGACACUGACGCUGAGGUGCGAAAGCGUGGGUAGCAAACAGGAUUAGAUACCCUAGUAGUC
RNAcentral lists this ribosomal RNA (465 nucleotides) under Vreelandella stevensii. RNAcentral's name for it is "partial 16S ribosomal RNA". It matches the Rfam family "Bacterial small subunit ribosomal RNA", at positions 338 to 795 of the family's 1533-position model. The record is from RNAcentral. Lineage: Bacteria; Pseudomonadati; Pseudomonadota; Gammaproteobacteria; Oceanospirillales; Halomonadaceae.